GUAAGAAACAAGUUAAUGGGAAUCAUCAAAGCUAUUCGUCCCAUCGAUGUUGCUGUAGUUGUCAGCUCACUUGUCGCUAUGUACUUGUUUCGACCGCAAGACGGUUUCCAACUCAUGCCUAUAUGGCAGCUAAAAGAAACUGAAUCUGCCGAGCAAUCUAUCAAGGUUCCACCAUUGAUAGUUGAUUUUGAUGGAAACGGUCUUAAAGAAAUCAUCAUUGUAUCUGGUAGUGG
Xenia sp. Carnegie-2017 is the source of this 233-nucleotide long non-coding RNA. RefSeq lists it as uncharacterized. Lineage: Eukaryota; Metazoa; Cnidaria; Anthozoa; Malacalcyonacea; Xeniidae. The record is from RefSeq and is a predicted model, not a curated record. The transcript is spliced from 3 exons.